Molecule: ribosomal RNA, 336 nt
Filed under: uncultured Legionella sp.
Lineage: Bacteria; Pseudomonadati; Pseudomonadota; Gammaproteobacteria; Legionellales; Legionellaceae
Description: bacterial SSU rRNA
Rfam family: Bacterial small subunit ribosomal RNA
Source: RNAcentral
AGCACCGGCUAACUCCGUGCCAGCAGCCGCGGUAAUACGGAGGGUGCGAGCGUUAAUCGGAAUUACUGGGCGUAAAGGGUGCGUAGGUGGUUGAUUAAGUUAUCUGUGAAAUUCCUGGGCUUAACCUGGGACGGUCAGAUAAUACUGGUUGACUCGAGUAUGGGAGAGGGUAGUGGAAUUUCCGGUGUAGCGGUGAAAUGCGUAGAGAUCGGAAGGAACACCAGUGGCGAAGGCGGCUACCUGGCCUAAUACUGACACUGAGGCACGAAAGCGUGGGGAGCAAACAGGAUUAGAUACCCUGGUAGUCCACGCUGUAAACGAUGUCAACUAGCUGUG